Molecule: ribosomal RNA, 403 nt
Filed under: uncultured bacterium
Lineage: Bacteria
Description: partial 16S ribosomal RNA
Rfam family: Bacterial small subunit ribosomal RNA
Source: RNAcentral
GACGAACGCUGGCGGCGUGCCUAAUACAUGCAAGUCGAACGCAGUGGGGACGGGUGAGUAACACGUUGGUAACCUCCCAUCAGAGGGGAUAACACUUGGAAACAGAUGCCAAACCGAUAUAGAUAGAUGGACCAGGGGUUCAUUAGCUAGUUGGUGAGGUAACGGAUUACCAAGGCCACGAUGCCUAGCCGACCUCAGAGGUUGAUCGGCCACACUGGGACUGAGACACGGCCCAGAAUCCUACGGGAGGCAGCAGUGGGGAAUAUUCGGCAAUGGACGAAAGUCUGACCGAGCAACGCCGCGUGAGUGAAGAAGGUUUUCGGAUCGUAAAACUCUGUUUUUAGAGAAGCGGUAUCUAACCAGAAAGCCACGGCUAACUACGAGCCAGCAGCCGCGGUAAUUC